This 480-nucleotide long non-coding RNA is filed under the name Gallus gallus (chicken). RNAcentral describes it as "lncRNA (ENSGALG00010003013.1)". The record is from RNAcentral. Lineage: Eukaryota; Metazoa; Chordata; Aves; Galliformes; Phasianidae.
GGCUAUUUCACUGGAGAUCCCUGUGUACCUGAAGACUUCUAAAGGGUUUUUCUGGCAUUUGAAGAGUUCUGUGAAUGCAGCUGUUGGAAACCAGUCUGAACCAUUAGUCUGUCUGUAAGCCAAUAGCUGACUAUAACAGUGCUGCACUGAGUGACCUUGGCAGUGACAACAGAUGUGUGCAGUGUUCCCCAGCAUUAUCUGCCUGCCAGGAUGCAAGGGCACUCAGAGCUGGACCUGCUGACCUCACUGCUACUUCUGCUUCUGUGUGGGGCUGUUGUAUAAGACAAAGGAAAUCUGCCCACAACUGUCAGCUCCUGCUCUUCCUCUACCUUGCUGGGGGCAGCAGGGCAGACCAACCUUCCUCCCUGCACUACUCCAGACCCCUCUUCAUUUGGAACAGAACUGAGCUCCAAAUUCCGCCUCUCCAUUUUACACAUCCAGUUUUUCUUGGGCUGUGGAUACAGGGUGUAUACGUGGCUG